This 155-nucleotide ribosomal RNA is filed under the name uncultured fungus. Its description in RNAcentral is "5.8S ribosomal RNA". It matches the Rfam family "5.8S ribosomal RNA". From Rfam's summary of the family: 5.8S ribosomal RNA (5.8S rRNA) is a component of the large subunit of the eukaryotic ribosome. It is transcribed by RNA polymerase I as part of the 45S precursor that also contains 18S and 28S rRNA. Functionally, it is thought that 5.8S rRNA may be involved in ribosome translocation. The record is from RNAcentral. Lineage: Eukaryota; Fungi.
AACUUUCAACAAAGGAUCUCUUGGCUCUCGCAUCAAUGAAGAACGCAGCGAAGCGCGAAAUGUAGUGUGAAUCGCAGAACAUUGUGAAUCAUCGAAUCUUUGAACGCACAUUGCGCCUCUCUUAACAGGGAGGCAUGCCUGUCUGAGUCUCAUUU